Long non-coding RNA from Carassius auratus (goldfish), 943 nucleotides. RefSeq lists it as uncharacterized. The record is from RefSeq and is a predicted model, not a curated record. NCBI's taxonomy places the organism in Eukaryota, Metazoa, Chordata, Actinopteri, Cypriniformes, Cyprinidae. The transcript has 4 exons.
AUCUCUUUCAGGGUCUGCUGAAGUUUAUUUUCCCUCUUGGUUUGGUUUACUUCACCAGGGACUGUUGGAGUUGCUCUACUUCACUCACUCCCGUCUCUCAAACGAACAGUAUCGCUGUGUUUGAAUGCUGUUCUGUUGGGAUUUGCUGUGUACUACCAGUUCUUGCCAAACCCAUGGCUGGUUUUUGUUAUUGUCCUCUAUGAGGGUCUGUUGGGAGAAGCAGCCACUUAAAUACCUUCUAUUUCAUCCGAGAGGAGACCGCUAAGCACAAAAGAGAGUUUGCCAUGGCUGCAGCAAGUGUAGGGGACAGUCUGGGAAUCGCUCUUUCUGCAGCUGCCGCCUUCCCCGUUCACCAUUAUUUCUGCUCUUUAUGAGCAAAUGAGUAUGUGGGUUUGUGCAUAAAGACAUUUAUAUGGUUAUGAAUUCAUACAUCCUCUAAAACCCUUAAUUUGUGUUUUUAAAUUAUCUUGAACACAUUCCAUUCGGAAUAAUAUGUUCUUAUUAAAAUGAAUGAUCUGACUGAUUUUUGACCUACAGACACCCUGCUCUAAUAAAAUCUUUAUUAACCCAUGAUUUACCCAAAACAAGAACAAAUUAUGUAUAGAUUAUGCUUUAAUUUGUACAUUUUAUAUCCUCAUUGUAACUAAAAAUCCUGGAAUUAUGUGUAAUCUUUUCUGAAAUGAUUCUCUUUUAGUAUUUAAAUAUUUUUCUUGAUGUUCUUGUGUAUGUGACUUUCAUGACUUUUCAUGAUUCCCACUAACUCGUCCCUGAAAUGUUGUUGCUUCCAUUUAUAAAGCAGUUUUGUUUCUCUUUUUGUGGCUUAAAGUUGCAUGCCCUCCCUCACCCUUGGUUUUGCAAUUGAACUUAUUUAGCAAGACUCUGUAAUAGUGUGUUGCUUUCUUAAAGGGGGGUGAAAUGCUCGUUUUCACUCAAUAUCCUGUUA